Molecule: ribosomal RNA, 749 nt
Filed under: uncultured bacterium
Lineage: Bacteria
Description: bacterial SSU rRNA
Rfam family: Bacterial small subunit ribosomal RNA
Source: RNAcentral
AUCCCGUGUAGCGUGAAUGCGUAGAGAUCGGGAGGAACACCAGUGGCGAGGCGGGUAACUGGACUGCAACUGACGCUGAGGCGCGAAAGUGUGGGGAGCAAACAGGAUUAGAUACCCCUGGUAGUCCACACUGUAAACGAUGAAUGCUAGGUGUAAGAGGUAUCGACCCCUUUUGUGCCGGAGUCAACACAAUAAAGCAUUCCGCCUGGGGAGUACGGCCGCAAGGUUGAAACUCAAAAGGAAUUGACGGGGGCCCGCACAAGCAGCGGAGCAUGUGGUUUAAUUCGACGCAACGCGAAGAACCUUACCAGGUCUUGACAUCCACUUAAGCCCAUAGAGAUAUGGGGUGUCUUCGGACGAAGUGAGACAGGUGGUGCAUGGUUGUCGUCAGCUCGUGUCGUGAGAUGUUGGGUUAAGUCCCGCAACGAGCGCAACCCUUACCAAUAGUUACUAACGUGUAAAGGCGAGGACUCUAUUGGGACUGCCGGGGACAACUCGGAGGAAGGUGGGGACGACGUCAAAUCAUCAUGCCCCUUAUGACCUGGGCUACACACGUGCUACAAUGGCCGUUACAGAGAGGAGCGAAAGCGCAAGCUGGAGCAGAUCUCAAAAAAGCGGUCUCAGUUCGGAUUGUGGGCUGCAACCCGCCCACAUGAAGUCGGAGUUGCUAGUAAUCGCGGAUCAGCAUGCCGCGGUGAAUACGUUCCCGGGCCUUGUACACACCGCCCGUCACACCAUGGGAGUUGAUA